AGUGGCGCACGGGUGAGGAACGCGUGGGCAACCUACCCUCGAGACGGGGAUAACAGGGCGAAAGCGCUGCUAAUACCGGAUACGACCCCAAGGGGUGAAAGCCCUGGGCUUUCGGGUCAGGGUGCUCGGGGAUGGGCUCGCGUCCUAUUCAGCUAGUUGGUGGGGUAACGGCCCACCAAGGCGACGACGGGUAGCUGGUCUGAGAGGAUGAUCAGCCACACUGCCACUGGAACACGGGCCAGACUCCUACGGGAGGCAGCAGUGAGGAAUUUUGCGCAAUGGGGGAAGCCCUGACGCAGCAACGCCGCGUGGGUGAUGAAGGCCUUCGGGUCGUAAAGCCCUGUCGGGCGGGAAGAACGUCCCUUUUAGGGAGUGACGGUACCGCCAGAGGAAGCACCGGCUAACUCCGUGCCAGCAGCCGCGGUAAUACGGAGGGUGCAAGCGUUAUUCGGAAUUACUGGGCGUAAAGGGCGUGCAGGCGGGAGAGCAAGUCUGAUGUGAAAGCCCGGGGCUUAACCCCGGAAGGGCAUUGGAAACUGCUUUUCUUGAGUUCUGGAGAGAAAGGGAGAUUUCCCGGUGUAGAGGUGAAAUUCGUAGAGAUCGGGAGGAACGUCAGUGGCGAAGGCGCCAUUCUGGACAGCAACUGACGCUGAGACGCGAAAGCGUGGGGAGCAAACGGGAUUAGAUACCCUGGUAGUCCACGCCGUAAACGAUGAGCACUGGGUGUAGCGGUAAUCAUUCCCUGCUGUGCCGCAGCUAACGCGAAUAA
RNAcentral lists this ribosomal RNA (769 nucleotides) under uncultured bacterium. RNAcentral's name for it is "bacterial SSU rRNA". It matches the Rfam family "Bacterial small subunit ribosomal RNA", at positions 94 to 863 of the family's 1533-position model. The record is from RNAcentral.